Transfer RNA from Felis catus (domestic cat), 73 nucleotides. It matches the Rfam family "tRNA". Rfam says of the family: Transfer RNA (tRNA) molecules are approximately 80 nucleotides in length. Their secondary structure includes four short double-helical elements and three loops (D, anti-codon, and T loops). NCBI's taxonomy places the organism in Eukaryota, Metazoa, Chordata, Mammalia, Carnivora, Felidae. The record is from Rfam.
GCCUGGCUGGCUGAGUCAGUAGAGCAUGUGACUCUUGAUCUCAGAGUUGUGAGUUCAAGCCCCACAUUGGGCG